This 491-nucleotide ribosomal RNA is filed under the name uncultured bacterium. RNAcentral's name for it is "partial 16S ribosomal RNA". It matches the Rfam family "Bacterial small subunit ribosomal RNA", at positions 29 to 506 of the family's 1533-position model. The record is from RNAcentral.
AGUGAACGCUGGCGGUAGGCCUAACACAUGCAAGUCGAACGGCAGCACAGUAAGAGCUUGCUCUUACGGGUGGCGAGUGGCGGACGGGUGAGGAAUACAUCGGAAUCUACUUUUUCGUGGGGGAUAACGUAGGGAAACUUACGCUAAUACCGCAUACGACCUACGGGUGAAAGCAGGGGAUCUUCGGACCUUGCGCGAUUGAAUGAGCCGAUGUCGGAUUAGCUAGUUGGCGGGGUAAAGGCCCACCAAGGCGACGAUCCGUAGCUGGUCUGAGAGGAUGAUCCGCCACAGUUGAACUGAGCCACGGUCCAGCCCCCUCCGGGAGGCAGCAGUGGGGAAUUUUGGACAAUGGGCGCAAGCCUGAUCCCGCCAUCCCGCGGGGGUGAAAAAGGCCUUCGGGUUGUAAAGCCCUUUUGUUGGGAAAGAAAAGCAGCAGGUUAAAACCCCGCUGUUCUGACGGUCCCCAAAGAAUAAGCCCCGGCUAACUUCGU